AUCACGUUCACUGGGGGUUCAGUCUUAGCAGGACCCAGGGCUUCCCCUUCCACUGGUGCUCUUACUAGGAUAUUCAUUGCUACCUAUGAGGUCAGAGUCAAAGGGUCAUUCCACGUAUAGUCUUUAGGUAGUGGCUUAGUCCCUGGAAGCUCUGGUUGCUUGGCAUUGUUGUACAUAUGGGGUCUCGAGCCCCUUCAAGCUCUUCCAGUUCUUUCUCUGAUUCCUUCAACGGGGGUCCUAUUCUCAGUUCAGUGGUUUGCUGCUGGCAUUCGCCUCUGUAUUUGCUGUAUUCUGGCUGUGUCUCUCAGGAGAGAUCUACAUCCGGCUCCUGUCGGCCUGCACUUCUUUGCUUCAUCCAUCUUGUCUAAUUGGGUGGCUGUAUAUGUAUGGGCCACAUGUGGGGCAGGCUCAGAAUGGGUGUUCCUUCAGUCUCUGUUUUAAUCUUUGCCUCCCUAUUCUCUGCCAAGGGUAUUCUUGUUCCCCUUUUAAAGAAGGAGUGAAGCAUUCACAUUUUGAUCAUCCGUCUUGAGUUUCAUGUGUUUUGUGCAGGAGAUGGACACUUGAAUAAGCAUCUGGCAUCUUACAGCGUGAAAGAAAAGCCAUGGAGACUUACAGUAGAACUGUCUAAUACAUCUAAGGAAGGUUCAUAAAAAGAGGGAUGCGAAGAGUUGGUGACUUAUGUUAAUGUUAGCUACAGCAAGAGCAAAAAUAGCAAGAGUCAAAAUAGCAAUGGCUUGACAUGUAAAUUUGGUUCUUAAUUGUAUCAGAGUUGAGUGAAGAUAUUUCUGGUUAGUGGGAAUUGGCAUGACCGACCAAGUUAUGAGGAAGUAGAUGUUUUCCUCCAUGUGUGGGGAUACAGUCGAAUGGUGGCCCUACAUCUUCAAUAUGCUGUGUUUCCUGGGUCCUCUGUGAGUGUUGAACUCUGGUCAGUUGAUGGAAGAAGAGAGCAAUUUGGCACAAAUACAAUCAAGAUUUUAUUCAUGUUAGAGGGGAUCAGAUUUAUAUUUUAUUGAGUAGUUCCAGUCACGCAACCUCAUUUAGGGAUAGAGGGUUAGAAGUACAGUCCCUGUGCAGGAGAUCUUUUUCUAAAAUCAGCUCCAACGUAUAAAAGGGAGGUUUGGAUCUGUGGUGAGCAGCAAGCCAGCUUUACCACAGAGAACUUUCUGGAAGAGCUGGAUUAACAUAGGGUUGUGAAGAAUGAAUUUGUCAGCCAGAUACCGACAUACAUCCAAGCUACAGGCAAAAAUAUUUGUGAGAAUGUUUUUAAUGAGCCAUGUUUUGAAAGAUGUGAAGUCAUCUUUGCCAAUUGAACAGCUUUCGGAAGUUUCAUAUCUAAUAGCGUCCAACAGAGCCAUUCACAAUGAUACAUCUGUGUGGGACAAUUUCUAGGGGAAGAGUGAUGACCUCCAUGUUCUUGCAAAUCAAGCUGUCUGGGUGUGGGAUUGGAUCAUGAGUUAGUCUGGGGUUUAAAUCAGAUAGGUUUCAGGCCUGUCCUCCAUUCUGAGCUAGCAGAGCAUAGCCAUAGAGCAAGGACAGGCCAGCCAAGUUUCAGAGAAGAAUUUUCUUGUGAGUUAUUUGGACAGUACAUGGAAAAGUUGUGACCAGAGGGCCUAUUAAACAAAUGGCCUUCCUAAAUCUUGGCUUCCUCAUGGGUGAGUCCACACAACCUGUAAGUGCACAGUCCCAUCCCACCUAAAAUUAUUGCAUGGUCACUGGGAAAUAAGACAUCAGAAGUGAGAGGGAAUCUGAACAAGUAGAUGAUAUAGAUGGAGCCAGUUGCAAGUGACAGUUUUAUUCAAAUCGGUGAAUCCUUGACUUCUGUUUUCAUUCAAUAGCAUUUGGUGCAGUUACAUUGGGACACCCCUAGAGUUGGAAACUGGUGAAGGGCCGUCAGUGGCCAGGUGGCAAACUUUAGGAUGCAUUCCACAAGCUGCAACACAUCACAGAUGGCUCCUGGUCAGCCAAAUUGCCCAAUUAAAAAUGUGAGGACUGGGGGGUUGGGGAUUUAGCUCAGUGGUAGAGCGCUUGCCUAGCAAGUGCAAGGCCCUGGGUUCGGUCCCCAGCUCCCCCCCCCCCCAAAAAUGUGAGGACUACAGUUCUCUCAGUUCAGUGCACUGAAUUGCUUUUGACUUGCUCUGUCCUUUCCAGAGUUUAGGCACUCUAGUCAUCCAGCCCCUCACAGCUUUCCAGCAUCCUAAACAAUCUUCUUGCCUUUAGCCUUGCCUACUCAGUGUGUGCUUAGAGGAUCUCAUCCAAUGAUUUCUUGGUUCACCCUAUUAAGUCCUCCAAUAAAGAAGUAGCACACAGGGUUUGUAAUUUCAGCUCAGCUUUGUGGACAGCUCAGGCAGAGAUGGCGCAUGGUUCCACUUCUUAACAUGAUUUCCUUUGUCCCAGAAGAAUCAGUCACGCUGUGGGGAUGCCAAGUCAAAAACUAUUGAGUAGCUUAGAGACUCUGAGGAUGUGGCAUCAUAUUUCAGCCUCACCUAACCUUGUCUCUCCCUGGAUUGUCUGGGCAGCUCUGAGACAGACUGUAUCCCUCAUUCCUGAUCUGACAGUGAAGCUAAGGUCCUCCUGUUAGUGACAUACAGAAAAGGCUGCAAACAGAAGUGAGGAGCUAGUAGCAGAAGGCCAAAAAUUUAUGGCCACGUUCAAGCAGUUUGUCCAAUGAUAACAUAUGGAACAAAUAUAAUCUUUGCUGAAAAGUAAUUUUAACCAUUUGCAUAUAUUCUCCCCAAGGGGGGGGGGAAAUCCUGGGUACCCAGGCUUAAAGAGUGUGUUGCCCCCUAGAAUUGCUCUAAUUACCUGUGAGCUAAUUAGAGACUAUUAUGUAUUCAGAAGUGAGAAUUUUAUUCUUCAAAAUUUGCAUUUGCAGCAAGAAUCUCAUUUUCUAUGCACCAUAAGGUGAGCGCUCCCUGCUGACUUCCUCUCCCUGUGUAUAAGCAGGGCUUACUCUGGGACCAUGAUAAUCAGAAGUCCAUUAGGCAGAGCCCAGGGAAGCCAGGAAGAGGGAACAGACUUCUGGGUAGACACAAGGGUCUAGAAACUAGUAGCAGAAUCAAAUCUUUGGAGUAAUACAAUUUGGAUAGCUCCUUGCUGAAGCCACUUUUGAGUUUGCUCAGACAUACUCAGAAUUUCCAGAAGAAAGGGCACUCCCACAAGUAAGAAACAGCCCUUGCCUGUCCCUGAAAUGAAUCAGGAAAUUUGGGUUGCUCCGAUAGGGCCUGGCAAGGUAUAUAUAGGAGUGCUAGUCUAGCAUUCAUAAAAUACACAGUCGGAGAUUUGCCCCAUUUUCUUUGGAUCCCUAGCUCUGUUUUUUUUUUCUUUUGUUGUUGUUGGGGUUUUGUUUGGUUUUGUUUUGUUUGUUUUUGUUUUUGUUUUUGGUGCCAAUGGGCUAAAGUCUCCAUGUCACCACACCUCAGAGUUCUGGCUGAGGGACAAGUGUGGAAGAAGGAAAGGAUGACCUCCUUCUACUGUCCAACUCUGAGUAGAGAGAAUAUCACAGGGAGCAUGGGCUUCACUGAUCAGGAUGCUCAGAGUGCCAAGGGCUGUUGCCAAGACCAAGGGAAUUUUAAGUUGUGAAUCAGAACAGGGUCAAUAUUACAACUCCUCUGAGGUUAGCACACUUGUAAAGAAAUCAGAAUUGAGUGCUAAGUGGUUUGGAUUCAUAGUUUUACUCAUUAACUCUUCCACUUUACUGUUUCUAUAUAUUUGUGGUUUCUAAAGGAACAGCUUAGCUUAGAAUGGGAAAGCAGCCAUGUGGCAUAGAGUCCCAUUGCCCUGUUCUCUGACCCUGUUGCUGAUUCAUUAUAGAUUUAUUUUACUGUGAACCAAAACUUUUUUCCCCAGUUAUCAAAAGUCCCUGCCAGUGUAUUUGGCCAGUGCCAAAAUCUCAUAUAAAAGUCCUGAUGGACAAAUGAUUGUUUCUAAAUAGACCAGCAGCAGACUAAAAGUCUAGUUUACUCUAAAGAUUUGUUUUGCUAAACUCCCCUCACUUUCCUUCCCAAAUAAUCCCAUUGAAAUCUCAUUCUGUUGUGAGAAAUACUCUGACAAAAAGUGACUCAGUUGGAAGGAAUGAAAAAAUGCCCAGUGAUUGAGUUUUCCUCCUUGAUCCAACUUUGCUUUUUUUUUGAAGCAUUUUGUUGUAUUGAUUGCAUUUUCCAACUUUUCACUGAUUCUUUGUGAGUUUCACACCAUGCACCCCAGUCCAUCCCCUCUCAUCCAUCCUCCACCCUCCAAAUCUUCCCCCAAAAGAAAACAAAACGAACAAAACAAAACAAAAACAAACAAACCAAAACAAAGCAUAAAAAACAUCUCAUGGUGUAAGCCAGUGUGUCUGUCACAAACAGUGUGCCCCACAGUACACCUUUAAAAUGCACGUUUUCAUUCCUUUGAGCUAAGCCAAAACUUCCUAUUAUUGGUCUUGUGUUCUUUCACUGACAGCACCUAAGUGAUUUCAGAUCACCUAUGCAUUUCAAAUUAGUCCUGUUCAAGCCCCGAGAGAGAGAGAGAGACCCAAGUAUAAGAAAAGCUGAUGCCAUACAAUUCCAUGCUCUUUGUAUGAUACAGUGGCAAAGCUGAUUUCUUUCCCUGAAGCUUCCCCGGGGAAAGAUGAAUGCACUGGAGACGGUGUAGCAAGCGGGGAUUCACGCACUCUCAACCAUUUAAAGCAUCCCUGAAGUAGGAAAGGAAUGGGAAUGGGAAAGGAAGCCAGGGUGAGUGGAAAACUUAGUUCAGCAGGAAUGAGAAUGAUAGAGACAGCAGCAAGGAUAGAGACAGCACACAGUUUGGGUGCCAAUGCACACCAGCCAAAGUCCACUAACAGCCGAAGGAAUGGAGUUCCUUACAGGAUAUAGCAUGGAGAACACAUAAGGGAAUCUCAAUAACAGGGGGCCUGAGAGAAGAGGAAACUGCAGUGUUGUCACUAGAUCUUACCUCGGAGGAGGAAAGAAUGGAUGAAAUAGAAAAUGUAGCUGGCUAAAAUGAAAUAAAGUAAAAUAUAGUAAUCACUCACACUAGCUAAGAUUCAGUCCCACCCUUUAGUGUCAGCUGGAUUCCUGUGUCCUUCUCAGGAGACGAAUAAUAGAUAUGAUCCAGCCUUAGGAUGUAGCAGAAGAUGGAAUUCAGACUGGCCUGAAAAAAAAAUCUUGUGACUAGAAACUAUUAUUAGGUUGACUUAACCCAGUGGCACACUUCCUGCUUUUUUGGUUCAAUUGCCAACUUUUUGGACCUCACAUAUGAAAUGGCAACAGACAAAGAAAGAACAACCCAGCAUCUAUCCUAGAGGUUCACUGAUUCCAGUUGGGUCAAUCCUGAGUUGACUCGGCAUUGCUGAUAUAUUACUGAUGAGACUUCUUCUGUGACUUCUUCAGGUACCUAGGCAGCUAAUGCAGAAGGGACCUGAGGAGACACAAGGCUUGCUCCAUGCUAGCGACUGUGGCAAGACCUGAGGCGUGAGCCCUGUAACAGACCAGCAUGUCCAACAAAACUCUACAAAUUGAACACAUGAGACGACUCUCAAGAGACAAUUUGAGUCAUCCUUAGUUCACAGGCCAUAUUCUUAAGAGUACUACACAGAUAAAGGAUGCACAGAUAAAAAUGUUUGCUCUCUUUAAGGAUGCCGCUCUUCUAUUCAUGCCAAAAAAUUCUCACAGAGGCUUCCCUCCUCCACACUGUGGCUCUGCACCAGUGCUCCGGUCUCAUUUUCGAGAUACAGAAAUUUAUAAUUGGUUUUACAAUUGUCACGGAGGUACCUUAAUGACUUUUUACACAUUAUUUGUUAUAAGGACAACAUUACUGGGAACCAGACUGAAGAGGAAAUUAACCCAUGCUCUGACCACCACCACCUCCGUCACAAGUCAAGCUGUUUAUAUUUAGCCUUGCUUGGUUCAAGAUCUCACCCAGGUGCAUCCAAAAUUUAAUUGUAAGACAUUCAGUGUUUUGACUAUUCUGUGUCUAUUGUGUAAUUACUAUAAUUAUACUUUCAGCGAUGUUGGGGUCUACAACAGAUUCAUGAAUGUAAAAACUGACUGGCCAAUAAAACUCCUUCCUCACUCUGUUUCACACCUAGGUAUAGAAUUAGUCUGGGGUUAAUUUUUCCUUUCUGUUUCUUUUCUUUUUAGAGAGAGAGGUAGUGCUCCCAGGCGAAGAGCGACUUGACGUCUGAGUGUCUUCAGGGUAGCAUCUUCCAUUUCUGUGUCAGUUUAAAAAAACUAACCCUGCUAUUUUAAUUGCAAAUGUAUGUUUUGAUUCUAUUGUUUAGGAGUUAUAGCCCACGUGUGUCCCAAAAGAAUGACAUGGACUAGAAUAGAGAAAAUGUGAAGCCUAAUUAGAAAUCUGUUUUAAAAUAGAACUGAGUCCGGGUCCUGGAUAAAGCAGUGAAUAUGAGAUAAUUGUGUGAGUAGCUAAUGUCCUGUUAGACAUUGUAACCCUUCUCAUGCAAGGCAUCACUAAUCAAGCAUCAUGCUCUACCACAAAAGCAUAGGAUACAGUUUAACAUCUUUCUCAGCACAUUAGCUAGGAAGAGCAUUGCUACAGGGAAACAGGACUGGCUCCCAAAGGCUUGUGUGUUAAAGGCUUGGUCUUCAUCCUGGUGCUGUUGGGAUGCCGUAGAACUUUUAAAGGAAAACCAAUAACAGUCUUUAAGUCACUGUGGGCGGGGCAUGCCUGGAAGGGAAUUGUGGGACGCCAGUCCUUUCUCCCUUUUCUUUGUUUCCUGCCACUAGUGAAUGCGAUACUUUGUUUGAUCAUGUACUCUUCACUGUAACACACUGUCUUACCACAAGCCCAAAGCCAAUGAGAGCAACCAACCAUAGAUGGAAAGUCUAGAAACUGUAAGCCAAAUUAAACUCUUUCUCCCUAGAAGCUGAUUAUCUCGUGUUUGUUAUGCAAAGAAAAUUGAUUAACAGAGACACAGGCUCACAUUCUCUGGUGUUGUGGAAAGUGAAUGAAGAGCCCUUCCAUAAGUUCUCCAGUCUUCCUCACAGCACCCUUCUCUGCCUUACAGCAGUGAGCUCCAGCCACAUCGUGUCCUGUGCUCACCACCACCUCCACUAACUCCUAGGAGGUGGAAGUCCUCAAGAUCAACAAGAUAUAUGUUCGACUACUGAGUUACAUCUCCAGCUCUUACUGUGAUAUCUUGAUAUAUGGGUACAUUGUGGACUUGGUGAACCAAAUUAAUUAAUGAGUGCAUAAUGUCUUGUGGUCAUCAUGUUUAUGGUGAGAUGGAUAAGGGUAUUUCAUAGUCUAGAUUAUAAGAACACAUUUGUACUAUAUGUUGUAGGUAGGAGUCUACACUAAUAUUUGUUCUGUUAACUUUCAAGCUGGAUCUCAUCCAAAGGAUAGGCUCAGGAAGAAUGUAAGAAUCCAAGGCCUUGGUAAGUUUUGAGCCUUGCUCCCCUUCUUCACAGAGAGGGGAGAUAACAAGGAGAAAAGAAGCAGUACCAUAAAUCUCAGAGAUAAGAUUGACUACCUGACUAGAGAGUUAAGACUCAACUUUGAAUUUAUUGACUGUUUGUGUUCUCUUCCCAGCCCAGUCUAGUGGUUAAAGAUGAGAUGGAGGAGAGAUCUUUAGGAUACUAAUCCUGUCUUCUCAGAUGGCUAGCUUUCUAAAUAAAACACAACUUCGAGAUUCUAUGUGCAGUUUGUGGCUUGUAAUACAGACUGCAUUAGUCUUUUAUAAGAUCACUUAAAUCCACUUUUUGGGGUGAUUUUCAACAUUGCAGCACUUUGGUAUGAACUGGAGUCAACAUGUUAUAUAAUAGAACUUUAACAUCCAUUCCUUCUAGUUUAACUGAAAUUUUGUAUCUUGUGAUCACCUCCCUCUGGAGCCCCAACACCAACAUCCAGUCACUGGUAACUACCAUUCUAUUCUCUGUUUCUACAAAUUCAACUUUCUUAGCUUGCUCAUGUAGGUGUAACCUCAUAGUAUCUGUCUUUUUUUGUGUGUGGCUUACUGCUCUUUAGGUUCAUCUAUAUUGUAAAUAACAGGAUUUUCUUCUAUUAAAAAGCUAAAUAGUACUCCAUUAUGUAUAUAUCUCUUUAAGUUUUUUCAUCUGUUGAUAACUUUAUUUGACUAUGUUUUGCCUAUUGUGAAUAAUGUUUCAAUUAACAUAUAGUGCAGGUAUCUUUCACUAUAUGAUUUUCAAAUUACUUGGAAAUAUAGUCAGGAGAGGGGCCUCCAGAUCAUAUGGCAUUUCCAUUUUAAUAUUUACUGGAACCCUCAUAUCACUCUCCAUAGUGGCCGUGAGAAUUUACAUUUCCACAGUUUUUUUUCACACUCAUGUCAUUCUUUUAUUUAUUUAUGUUUUUAUUUAUUUAUUUUUUUGAAGCAGUGUCUCAUGAAGACAAGCGAGACCCUUAUUCUUUAUAUAACUGAGACUUCUCUUCAUCCUCCUGCCUCGACCUCCUAAGUGCUUAUAUCACUACAGGCUUAUACCACCAUGUUUGGAAUUCACAACUGUUUUCUUUCUGUAAAGGUUUAUUUUAUCCUUGUGUUUAUGGUGUUUAUGUGUAUAUCUUUCUCGCUCCAUCCUAUAAUGUGUGGCUGUGCUUUGGUGGUAGUCAUAAAAGUAUUGAAUUCCCUGGAGCUGCAGUUAGAGGUGGUUGUCAGUUGCCUGAUAUUCGAGCUCUGGUAACUAAGCUUAGGUCUUCUGGAAGAGAAGCAUGUGCUCUUAGUGGUUGAGUCAUUUCUCUAGGCCCCUUACUUUUUAAUCAAAGAGAAAUUGGCUGGUGGUGGUGCAGGCCUUAAAUCCUUUAUACUCAGUAGACGGUCAAGGCCAGUAUGGGCAAUUUAGUGAGAAUCUGUUGAAGUAGAAAUGUAAGGGUUUUUUGAAAAGUCAGUUGAAUGGUAUUUUGCUGGGGCAGACUCGUGAAGGAACAUUUAGCUGAAGCAGACACAAGUGAAAGGAUGUUCUGCUAAAGCAAGCACAUGAAAGGACACAUGAUGAAGUAUUCUUCGCUAAUGAUAUUCAUGUAUUAGUCUGCCUUAUGACGGUUAGUUGAGCUGCAUUUGUCGGGAUGCCAUAGAGAGAAAUGCACCAAAGAACUUCUGGUGGUGUGCUGCAGUUUCUUGUGCUUCUGCAGGCUCAGGCUGAUGGGCAGAGUGAUGUCAGCUGAGACAGAGCCACGUGUGCUCAGGAGGACAUGUAAUGUUUGAAGGGUAUAAAUAAGACUCUGCUGACAAAGACAGAAAGCUGAACUGGGCUUGCUUAUAGAGCUAGCUAUGUAGCUGUGCAUUGCUUGUGGGUCUCAUGUCUUCAUUUAUCUUUGCUUCCCUGACAGAGGAAUGGUGGAGAACUUCUUGUGUUCCUUCUGGUUCCUCAUGCUGACUUAAGCUGAGGCUGAGGCCUGGCUGUCUUUGCUAGGUAGGGGCACUGCUGCUGAUUCGUGUUUGCUAUCUUGACUCUACCGAAUUGGACUGUUGAUUUAUCAGAGAAGUGUUUGUGAGUGGAUCUAGCUGCCACUGCUAACCUGUGAACUGAACUGCUGAUUUCCGGAGAGCACCGAUUGGAGUUACUCCAAAGAACCUUUCUAAAUGGGUCUGUUCCCACCCCACUCCUAUUCCCUGUGUCCUUUCCCACUACUUCUGGCAGGUGAUGGGCUACAAGGGAGGUUAAAUGAUUUAAGAACUAUCAUUAAAAAUAAGCAUUUGGAAAAAUUAUAGUUACAGUCUGUCUCCAGGAAAAAGUAAAUAAAAGAGUUGUUGGGAAUACAGCUCAGUCAUACAGUCAUUGCCUACUACGGACAAAGCCCUUGAUUCAGUCUUCAGUACCACAAUACAUUCUGAAAAAUUGCCCUUGAUGUUCACUAAUUUUUUUAAAUUUUCAAUUGUGCUUGAGUACCUCACAUGGAGGUUGACCUUACUGAACCUUGUGUAUAAGGUGGGACCAAUAUUUAGUGCUAGAUUCUUAUAUGUAUGACCUCAUUCUAUUCUCGUAUCCAUCUAACGACAUUGGCAUCGAUGCUUCCAUUUCAUUCUGAGAUAAGAAAACUGAAGUUCAAAAAGGAUCAUACUCAGGGCUAUUUGACUAUAAUUUUAUGUUUUUUUCAUACUGUUUCUCCUUUCAAUGCUUUAUGCAGAGAAGUUAAACAGAGAAAUUGUAAGUUUCUGGAGACUUUGAAGAGAUAAUGGAAAGAGAAAUUAGUAAUUACUUCACUCUUUCUGCAGGAACUCUUUAGUCUACUCUGUGGUAGGAGAAAGCAUCAAAAGUUGUCAUGGUGAAUUUUUAAUAAUCCAUAAUAUUAGAUUAGUAUCUAAUGGUAUGGAAAAGUACAUGGUAUAGAAAGGAAAGCCAUCUAGAUGCUGUUUAUUCAAACAUGAGUCUCAGCUAAGUUGAGUGGAAUUGGGAAAAUAUGAUGUUGUUUGUCAAUAUGUCAAAGAAAACUGCUGGGUAAUGUACAGAAAUGCCCAGCGUUGUGACUGAGAAAGCAAAGGGGUUAGGGCCUUAAGAGUUUAUUCUUUGUUUCUGUUUGUUUGUUUUUUGUUUCUUUUCUUUUCUUUUCUUUUUUGAUUUAUACACUCCUAAGUUUCCUGCCCAGGAGUCCUGAGUCCAUGAACGUGUGACUGAGUGACAGUGAUAGACUGAGCAAUUGUCAUAGCUGGAGUUAGAUGAGAAAUGUUCAUCUGUGAAAUGGUAGGAGGUAAUGCAUUUCCAAGUGCCUAUAAAUAUUCUUAAAUAUAAAUUAUUUUAUUAAUGGCAUCUGUUGUAAUUUUAAAUAGAAUUAUUUUUGGUAAGUGUUGAUAGUGAUCUCUUUUAAAAAGAGACUAUUAAUUAUCUGUUCCUCUUAAUUUUGACAAACACUCUUGUUAAGAUAUUAUGGUUGUAAUUUAAGCACACCCUCUUAAAAUUUAUUUAUUUAUUUAGUAUGUAUAGAUAUACAUGUAUGUGAGUGCAUAUGCACAUAUAUGAGCCAGUGUGCAUCUGUUCAUCCAUCUCUCUGUCUCUCUGUCUCUGUCUCUGUCUCUGUCUCUCUCUCUCUCUCUCUGUGUGUGUGUGUGUGUGUGUGUGUGUGUGUAUUUGAGCAUUUAGAAGUGGGGGUGGUAGGAGAUAAUAGUGUGGCAAGUAUCAUAAGCCAUGUAGUGCAUGAAACUCUGAAGUUUAUUGUAAGAGUAACGAGGAAUCAUUGAUGGGCGAAAAGAAGUAGAAGAACCAAAUUAAUCACCUUGACUACAGAAUCAGACUGCACAGAACAGAAGAAAGAGGGAGUCAGGAAACUAACUGGAAAGUAACUCCAAUUACAGCUGUGAUGUGAUGAAACAACUGGUGGCUGUGAAGCUGAAGAGAAGUGAAAGGCCUCAGGAGAUAUUCAGGGAUAAAACAGAGAAUACUUGGAAUAAGGCAAAGCAGGGAAGAACAACUUGGUACCUGAUUAUUUUCACAGAUGAUGGAGUUAGGGAUGAAGAUGAGAAGAGAUUAUCUGGUUAUUUAAGGAACCUAACUUCCUUGAAGUUCUUAGUUUCACCUUUUGAACAUUACUUAUUUCUCUGCAGGUCUACUUUGAGAGUACUCACUCAGUAUAAGGAGCAGUGUGCUUCAUGCAAAUGAAACAGCCUAGCACUGUGGACCAGGUUGCCUUAUAAGGUUAUCAGUUUAGAGUGGCAUCCUCCCACACACUUUCCCACCUGAGUUCCAUUUCCCUGUCUGCAUGCUCUGAGAGGUUCUGAUAGUGACAGUGUUCCUAGAUACAAGGAAAAUCUUUUCUACCAUUGAAUAAAGCUAUAAAUGUACAUGUAUAAAAUUAAAAAUAUCAUGUGGAAAGGGCACAAAAGAGUCAGUAAAUGGUUCUAGAAACAAUGAAAAGUGUUGAAAAUGCCUAGAGAUGUCGCUAAGUUCUUGCCUGGUAUACAUGAGGCUCUGGAUUCCCUAGCACAAAAUAAACAAACACAAAUACCCGAGAGGAUGUAUGCUGUCUUGAAAUACAAGGUAAGCAUACAUUUUGAGAAGGAAGACAGAGUCAUAAGUGUAAGUCAACCAAGAUAUCAAACGAAUAGGCACCAAAGAGUGGGUGUGGCAAUAAGCCGGAGUAGCUUCUUGAUCAUGCUGAAGUAAAUUUAGAGAUGAGGAAAAGAGCCCCAUGACAAUAGAAUAUCCAUGGAGAGAGAAUGUGAAUACAGCUAGCAAUCACUUCCAAUUUGGUUAUGAAGGGAAGAGGAAAAGCCAUGGACUUGUGCUAUCAACAGAGAUCUUUGUUGUGGUGUUUGGUUGAAUAGUGUGUACUUCAUACCUGAUUAAAAGGAAUCCAAUAGAAAAGGUGAAAGUCUAAGGAGAUAGAGAGGGACAGGAUUAUUGAUCAAGAGAGGUCAUAGUGAAGGUAGAAUGUACAGGUAUCCAUUUGGAUACAGGGCCUGUGGAAGGAAGAAGAGAUAUGGCCACCAGGGAGUUUGGGAGCAGGAAGGUUAUGGAAGAUAAGAUCCACUUUCUCUUAUGAAAGGGGUGAGAUCAGAUUAGUUUUCAAAGAAGAUGACAGAGCAGAAUGGAGAAAAGUCCAUAAAAAAAACCACCAAGUGAGUUCUGUUUAUUAUUUUUCUCCAAUAAUCUUUACAUUUAUUUUUAGAAAUCUGUCCUUGAAACCCAAGGUCCACUGAGAACAUUGUACAGCGUUCCAGGAAAGUAAAUCUUCUUGAGUAGUAGAAGUGGUUGCAUCACAUAAUGACUUGGGGCUUAAGAAUAGACCAGCCUUGCGAACGCUUUUGUCCUUUAGCAAACCAGGAAUCAAACCUUCUGCAUGGAAGGGAGUACAGGAGCCAAACAUUUACAGCAGGUAAAUGGUAGACUUCUACCACUCCCUUUCAGAAACAAGGACGCAGAGACUCUAAAGGGAGGGAGUUUGUUUCCAUUUAUUGCUAAGGGGCAGAGUCAGUAACUACACCACAAGCAGAAUGUUCCCAUUAGAAAGAUUCACUGAGUGCAUUUGUUAUGAAAAAGGGGGAAAAAAUCCCUUCUUUCUAUCCCUAUUUUUCUCAUCAUAUAAACUGGAUUUUUCUUUAUGUUUAAUGAGCCAUUUUGUAUUUAUAAUUCUCAAGUUGAUUAAGCAUCGGUAGAUUUUAAAGUGUUGACGUAAGAGAUUUUUAAUUCUUAAAGAUUUCCUUGGGAAAUAUUUUCUCAAGCAAGAAAAGAUAGUCUGUUCAAGAAUGACACUGGGACAAAGAGCUGUCCAUAUGGAAGAUAAUCAAAUUAGAUGACUAAACAAUGCUAUACAUCAAAAUAAAUUCCAUGAGGGCUUAAAUGCUAAAUGAAUAAAAUAGAAUCAUAAAA
Molecule: non-coding RNA, 13253 nt
Organism: Rattus norvegicus (Norway rat)
Lineage: Eukaryota; Metazoa; Chordata; Mammalia; Rodentia; Muridae
Source: RefSeq, a predicted model, not a curated record